GGGCUCACAGGGAGUAUGGCUACGCCAGGUAGGAGACCUGCGCAAACUCCCUGUGCUUACCGGGGGGCUAGAGAGACCGGGCAGGCACCGUGUUAUGCAGGGGUGCGCACGGUGUCCCCAGUGCGGGUGCAUAGCCCGGUGAGGUAUAUUCCAGCUCCUCGGAUCGGCCGGGCUAGAGUGGGCAUCGAGCCAGGUAAGGUUGGGCAGGCUCGGUGCUCAAGAGCUCCAGUGCGCCUGCACGGUCCGGUCUAUCCAGUACCACCUCCACACCCCAGCCCUCCGGUAGCAGCUCCCCGCACCAGGCUUCCUGUGCGUGUCCUCGGUCCAGUACCACCAGUACCAGCACCACGCAUCAGGCCUACAGUGCGCCUCGCCUCUCCAGCGCUGUCGGAGCCUUUCUCCUCUCCUGCGCUGCCGGAGUCUCCCGCCUAUCUAGCGCUGUUAGAGCUUUCCUCAUCUCCAGCGCUGCCGGAGUCUCCCGCCUGUUCAGCGCAGCCAGAGCCUUCCUCCGACACAGCGCUGCAGGAGUCUCCCGCCUGUUCAGCGCCGCCAGAGCCUUCCUCCUCUACAGCGCUGCCGGAGUCUCCCACCUGUUCAGCGCAGCCAGAGCUGCCAGUCUGCAUGAAGCAGCCAGAGAUGUCAGUCUGCAUGGAGCAGCCAGAGAUGUCAGUUUGCAUGAAGCAGCCAGAGAUGUCAGUCUGCAUGGAGCAGUCAGAGAUGUUAGUCUGCAUGAAGCAGCCAGAGAUGUCAGUCUGCAUGGAGCAGCCAGAGCUGUCAGUCUGCAAGGAGCUGUCAGUCUGCAAGGAGCUGCCAGUCUGCACGGAGCUGCCAGUCUGCACGGAGCUGCCAGUCUGCACGGAGCCGCCAGAGCUGCCAGUCUGUAAGAAGCCGCCAGAGCUGUCAGCCUACAUGGAGCAGCCAGAGCCACCAGCCAGCGUGGAGCAGCCAGAGCCGCCAGUCAGCAUGGAGCAGCCAGAUCUUUCAGUCUGCCAGGAUCCGCCAGUCAGCCAGACUCUUCCAGAUCUGCCAGUCAGCCAGACUCUUCCAGAUCAGCCAGACCCUUCCAGAUCUGCCAGUCAGCCAGACUCUUCCAGAUCUGCCAGUCAGCCAGACUCUUCCAGAUCCGCCAGUCAGCCAGACUCUUCCAGAUCCGCCAGUCAGCCAGACUCUUCCAGAUCCGCCAGUCAGCCAGACUCUUCCAGAUCCGCCAGUCAGCCAGACUCUUCCAG
Molecule: long non-coding RNA, 1229 nt
Organism: Oncorhynchus tshawytscha (Chinook salmon)
Lineage: Eukaryota; Metazoa; Chordata; Actinopteri; Salmoniformes; Salmonidae
Source: Ensembl